RNAcentral lists this ribosomal RNA (120 nucleotides) under Juniperus chinensis. Lineage: Eukaryota; Viridiplantae; Streptophyta; Pinopsida; Cupressales; Cupressaceae. The record is from RNAcentral.
GGGUGCAAUCAUACUGGCGUUAGUGCACCAGAUCACAUCAGUACUCCGCAGUUAAGCGUGCUUUGGCCGGAGAAGUACUGGGAUGAGUGAACUCCCGGGAAGUCCCGGUGUUGCACCCUU